GACGAACGCUGGCGUUCGUGCUUAACACAUGCAAGUCGAACGGAAAGGCCCUGCUUUUGUGGGGUGCUCGAGUGGCGAACGGGUGAGUAACACGUGAGUAACCUGCCCUUGACUUUGGGAUAACUUCAGGAAACUGGGGCUAAUACCGGAUAGGAGCUCCUGCUGCAUGGUGGGGGUUGGAAAGUUUCGGCGGUUGGGGAUGGACUCGCGGCUUAUCAGCUUGUUGGUGGGGUAGUGGCUUACCAAGGCUUUGACGGGUAGCCGGCCUGAGAGGGUGACCGGCCACAUUGGGACUGAGAUACGGCCCAGACUCCUACGGGAGGCAGCAGUGGGGAAUAUUGCACAAUGGGCGGAAGCCUGAUGCAGCAACGCCGCGUGCGGGAUGACGGCCUUCGGGUUGUAAACCGCUUUCGCCUGUGACGAAGCGUGAGUGACGGUAAUGGGUAAAGAAGCACCGGCUAACUACGUGCCAGCAGCCGCGGUGAUACGUAGGGUGCGAGCGUUGUCCGGAUUUAUUGGGCGUAAAGGGCUCGUAGGUGGUUGAUCGCGUCGGAAGUGUAAUCUUGGGGCUUAACCCUGAGCGUGCUUUCGAUACGGGUUGACUUGAGGAAGGUAGGGGAGAAUGGAAUUCCUGGUGGAGCGGUGGAAUGCGCAGAUAUCAGGAGGAACACCAGUGGCGAAGGCGGUUCUCUGGGCCUUUCCUGACGCUGAGGAGCGAAAGCGUGGGGAGCGAACAGGCUUAGAUACCCUGGUAGUCCACGCUGUAAACGGUGGGUACUAGGUGUGGGGUCCAUUCCACGGGUUCCGUGCCGUAGCUAACGCUUUAAGUACCCCGCCUGGGGAGUACGGCCGCAAGGCUAAAACUCAAAGGAAUUGACGGGGCCCCGCACAAGCGGCGGAGCAUGCGGAUUAAUUCGAUGCAACGCGUAGAACCUUACCUGGGGUUGACAUGGAUCGGGAGUGCUCAGAGAUGGGUGUGCCUCUUUUGGGGUCGGUUCACAGGUGGUGCAUGGCUGUCGUCAGCUCGUGUCGUGAGAUGUUGGGUUAAGUCCCGCAACGAGCGCAACCCUUGUUCACUGUUGCCAGCACGUUAUGGUGGGGACUCAGUGGAGACCGCCGGGGUCAACUCGGAGGAAGGUGGGGAUGACGUCAAGUCAUCAUGCCCCUUAUGUCCAGGGCUUCACGCAUGCUACAAUGGCUGGUACAGAGAGUGGCGAGCCUGUGAGGGUGAGCGAAUCUCGGAAAGCCGGUCUCAGUUCGGAUUGGGGUCUGCAACUCGACCUCAUGAAGUCGGAGUCGCUAGUAAUCGCAGAUCAGCAACGCUGCGGUGAAUACGUUCCCGGGGC
This 1346-nucleotide ribosomal RNA is filed under the name uncultured bacterium. RNAcentral describes it as "partial 16S ribosomal RNA". It matches the Rfam family "Bacterial small subunit ribosomal RNA", at positions 28 to 1380 of the family's 1533-position model. The record is from RNAcentral.